UUUAUAUGAGAGUUUGAUCCUGGCUCAGGAUGAACGCCGGCGGUGUGCCUAAUACAUGCAAGUCGUACGCACUGGCCCAACUGAUUGAUGGUGCUUGCACCUGAUUGACGAUGGAUCACCAGUGAGUGGCGGACGGGUGAGUAACACGUAGGUAACCUGCCCCGGAGCGGGGGAUAACAUUUGGAAACAGAUGCUAAUACCGCAUAACAACAAAAGCUGCAUGGUUUUUGUUUGAAAGAUGGCUUUGGCUAUCACUCUGGGAUGGACCUGCGGUGCAUUAGCUAGUUGGUAAGGUAACGGCUUACCAAGGCGAUGAUGCAUAGCCGAGUUGAGAGACUGAUCGGCCACAAUGGAACUGAGACACGGUCCAUACUCCUACGGGAGGCAGCAGUAGGGAAUCUUCCACAAUGGGCGCAAGCCUGAUGGAGCAACACCGCGUGAGUGAAGAAGGGUUUCGGCUCGUAAAGCUCUGUUGUUGGAGAAGAACGUGCGUGAGAGUAACUGUUCACGCAGUGACGGUAUCCAACCAGAAAGUCACGGCUAACUACGUGCCAGCAGCCGCGGUAAUACGUAGGUGGCAAGCGUUAUCCGGAUUUAUUGGGCGUAAAGCGAGCGCAGGCGGUUGCUUAGGUCUGAUGUGAAAGCCUUCGGCUUAACCGAAGAAGUGCAUCGGAAACCGGGCGACUUGAGUGCAGAAGAGGACAGUGGAACUCCAUGUGUAGCGGUGGAAUGCGUAGAUAUAUGGAAGAACACCAGUG
This 758-nucleotide ribosomal RNA is filed under the name Limosilactobacillus reuteri. RNAcentral's name for it is "bacterial SSU rRNA". It matches the Rfam family "Bacterial small subunit ribosomal RNA", at positions 1 to 714 of the family's 1533-position model. Lineage: Bacteria; Bacillati; Bacillota; Bacilli; Lactobacillales; Lactobacillaceae. The record is from RNAcentral.